RNAcentral lists this ribosomal RNA (425 nucleotides) under uncultured bacterium. RNAcentral describes it as "bacterial SSU rRNA". It matches the Rfam family "Bacterial small subunit ribosomal RNA", at positions 354 to 796 of the family's 1533-position model. The record is from RNAcentral.
GUGGGGAAUUUUGCGCAAUGGGGGAAACCCUGACGCAGCGACGCCGCGUGGAGGACGAAGGCCUUCGGGUUGUAAACUCCUUUUGCAAGGGAAGAUAGUGACGGUACCUUGCGAAUAAGCCACGGCUAACUCUGUGCCAGCAGCCGCGGUAAGACAGAGGUGGCAAGCGUUAUUCGGAAUUACUGGGCUUAAAGGGCGCGUAGGCGGUAUGGUAAGUCCGAUGUGGAAUCCCGCGGCUUAACCGCGGAAUUGCAUUGGAAACUGUCGUACUUGAGUCAGCGAGGGGAGGGCGGAAUUCCUGGUGUAGCAGUGAAAUGCGUAGAUAUCAGGAGGAAGGCCGGUGGCGAAGGCGGCCCUCUGGCGCUUGACUGACGCUGAGGCGCGAAAGCGUGGGGAGCAAACAGGAUUAGAUACCCGGGUAGUCC